GUGGGGAAUCUUGCGCAAUGGGCGAAAGCCUGACGCAGCCAUGCCGCGUGAAUGAUGAAGGUCUUAGGAUUGUAAAAUUCUUUCACCGGGGACGAUAAUGACGGUACCCGGAGAAGAAGCCCCGGCUAACUUCGUGCCAGCAGCCGCGGUAAUACGAAGGGGGCUAGCGUUGCUCGGAAUUACUGGGCGUAAAGGGCGCGUAGGCGGACAGUUUAGUCAGAGGUGAAAGCCCAGGGCUCAACCUUGGAAUUGCCUUUGAUACUGGCUGUCUUGAGUACGGGAGAGGUGAGUGGAACUCCGAGUGUAGAGGUGAAAUUCGGAGAUAUUCGGAAGAACACCAGUGGCGAAGGCGACUCACUGGCCCGUUACUGACGCUGAGGCGCGAAAGCGUGGGGAGCAAACAGGAUUAGAAACCCGUGUAGUCC
This 425-nucleotide ribosomal RNA is filed under the name uncultured bacterium. RNAcentral describes it as "partial 16S ribosomal RNA". It matches the Rfam family "Bacterial small subunit ribosomal RNA", at positions 354 to 796 of the family's 1533-position model. The record is from RNAcentral.